CAUAAAUCAAAAAGAUUAUUGAUCUCCCAGCACAUUCACUGAUAAAAGGAAAUACCAGCAACUCCAUGCAUCUGAGCAUACAACUUAUAUGGACUUCUAGCAAGUGAUCCCCUGGACUUAAAAACAUGUCUGAAUCCUGGCUGGGACAGUUUGGCUUUAAGUAGUACAUCAAAUUCAGACAGGGUCUUACUCUGUUGUCCAGGCCAAGUGCAGUCGUG
Molecule: long non-coding RNA, 218 nt
Filed under: Homo sapiens (human)
Lineage: Eukaryota; Metazoa; Chordata; Mammalia; Primates; Hominidae
Description: non-protein coding lnc-FOXB1-1:1
Source: RNAcentral